Molecule: ribosomal RNA, 312 nt
Filed under: Triticum aestivum (bread wheat)
Lineage: Eukaryota; Viridiplantae; Streptophyta; Magnoliopsida; Poales; Poaceae
Description: partial small subunit ribosomal RNA
Source: RNAcentral
AUGAGUCCACCAUACCUUCCUAUAUGCGGUAUUUACUUUCCGUUCCAAGUAAAUUUGUAUGUGCCAAACUCCAAACCUUCAAAUGAAAUUCUGUUUUGUAUGCUCGAGCAACUCAUGUUUCAACUAGGGUUGCAUAUAUCUUCCAUGCUAGGUGGGUUAUUCUCAAGAGGAGUGGACUCCGCUCCUCAUUCGCGAGAAAGGGCCGUUAACCGGGAUGCCCAGUCCCAUGAUCCAAAAAGAUCAAAGCAAAUCAAAAUAAUUAAACAAAACUCCCCCAGGGCUAUUGUUAGUUGGAGGCACUCGUUGUUUUGA